AGGGCUGUAGCUCAGUUAGGUAGAGCACCUCGUUUACACCGGUUCGAGUCCGUAUAGCCCUA
This 62-nucleotide transfer RNA is filed under the name Gyrinops caudata. Its description in RNAcentral is "tRNA-Val". It matches the Rfam family "tRNA". From Rfam's summary of the family: Transfer RNA (tRNA) molecules are approximately 80 nucleotides in length. Their secondary structure includes four short double-helical elements and three loops (D, anti-codon, and T loops). The record is from RNAcentral. Lineage: Eukaryota; Viridiplantae; Streptophyta; Magnoliopsida; Malvales; Thymelaeaceae.